UACCCGCAUCAAGACGAAAAGACCCCAGAACCUUUACUGCAACCUGCUAUUGAAAUUUGGUUCACUAUGUGUAGUAUAGGUGGGAGGCUUUGAAGCCUAGGCGCUAGCUUGGGCAGAGCCGCAAUGUGAAAUACCACCCUUAUUGCAUUAAGUUUCUAACUUCUUGCCGUGAAUCCGGCGGGAGGACAGUGACAGGUGGGCAGUUUGACUGGGGCGGUUCCCUUCUAAAAAGUAACGAAGGGGCCCCAAGGUUGGCUCAGGGCGUUCGGCAAUCGCCCGUGGAGCGUAAGCGCAUAAGCCAGCUUAACUGCGAGUCCGACAGGACGAGCAGAUACGAAAGUAGGGGCUAGUGAUCCGGUGGUUGAACGUGGAAUUGCCAUCGCUCAACGGAUAAUAGGUACUCUGGGGAUAACAGGCUUAUUGGACUCGAGAGUUCACAUCGACAGUCCAGUUUGGCACCUC
Molecule: ribosomal RNA, 462 nt
Filed under: Candidatus Sherwoodlollariibacterium unditelluris
Lineage: Bacteria; Pseudomonadati; Candidatus Omnitrophota
Description: bacterial LSU rRNA
Rfam family: Bacterial large subunit ribosomal RNA
Source: RNAcentral